This 497-nucleotide ribosomal RNA is filed under the name uncultured bacterium. RNAcentral's name for it is "partial 16S ribosomal RNA". It matches the Rfam family "Bacterial small subunit ribosomal RNA", at positions 28 to 507 of the family's 1533-position model. The record is from RNAcentral.
GAUGAACGCUGGCGGCGUGCCUAACACAUGCAAGUCGAGCGAACAGACGAGGAGCUUUCUCCUCUGAUGUUAGCGGCGGACGGGUGAGUAAAACGUGGAUAACAUACCUAUAAGACUGGGAUAACUUCGGGAAAACGGAGCUAAUACCGGAUAACAUGUUGAACCGCAAGGUUCAACAGUGAAAGACGGUCUUGCUGUCACUUAUAGAUGGAUCCGCGCCGCAUUAGCUAGUUGGUCAGGUAACGGCUUACCAAGGCAACGAUGCGUAGCCGACCUGAGAGGGUGACCGGCCACACUGGAACUGAGACACGGUCCAGACUCCUACGGGAGGCAGCAGUAGGGAAUCUUCCGCAAUGGGCGAAAGCCUGACGGAGCAACGCCGCGUGAAUGAAGAAGGUCUUCGGAUCGUAAAAUUCUGUUAGUAGGGAGGAAGAAAUGUGUAAGUAACGAUGCACGUCUUGACGGUACCUGAUGAGAAAGCCACGGCUAACUACGUG